RNAcentral lists this long non-coding RNA (721 nucleotides) under Pan troglodytes (chimpanzee). RNAcentral's name for it is "long non-coding RNA NONPTRT009329". Lineage: Eukaryota; Metazoa; Chordata; Mammalia; Primates; Hominidae. The record is from RNAcentral.
CGGGAAUCCAUUCCAGGUUGACUCCACCAGCGAGAAUCACAGGCGCCGCUGCCGCCUCGCCUCGGGCGUGGACCCUGCGGCUCGGGCCUGCGCGUGUGCACCCCGAGGUUGUCUCACUUCCUGUUCAGGGCGACCAGCGCUGCGCCCUCCCCACUCCACAGAUGAGGAAGCUGAGGUUAAAGUCACUUACCCCAGGUCACUCCGCAAGUUGAAGCGCAACCAGGAUACUCUGGAACAGGAUGCCUGACUUCAGAGGAGAGGCGCGUAACCACCAGGCAACUGGCCCCAUGAAAACAAGUCCCACAACUUCCCUUCUUUGGCGCCUACUUGCUCCCGGAAGAAAAGCCUUAAACGGUUACAGCCGCCAGGGCAACUGAAACUCCUCAGGCUCCAGAGGGCUGAAGUGAGUCGCCUCCACGUUCUUGAGGUGCUUCCGAGCCAGGAACAGUGCGAGGCGCCGGCGCCGCCGCGAGCUCAGGCCCUGGCCCACCAGCCAUGGGAAGGCGGGUCCGUGUAGCCCCAGGGCCUCCUCGCCCUCCAGCUCCUCUUCGCAGCGUGCACGGUAGGAGCGCAGCAGCGCCAGGCACCAGUCCUCGUCCACGCGGUAGCGUGCAUAGAAGGCGGCCUCCUGCGCCAAGCUGCCAGCGCGCAGCCAGCGGGUGACGACGGCGCGGCCCUCUCGCGCCAUCACGACGGGGUAGCGGUGCUCCAGCAGGCGCAG